AUUGAACGCUGGCGGCAGGCCUAACACAUGCAAGUCGAACGAGUGGCGGACGGGUGAGUAAUGUCUGGGACACUGCCCGAUGGAGGGGGAUAACUACUGGAAACGGUAGCUAAUACCGCAUACCAUCAGAUGUGCCUAGAUGGGAUUAGCUGGUAGGUGGGGUAACGGCUAACCUAGGCGACGAUCCCUAGCUGGUCUGGGAGGAUGACCAGCGACACUGGAACUGAGACACGGUCCAGACUCCGACGGGAGGCAGCAGUGGGGAAGAUUGCACAAUGGGCGCAAUCCUGAUGCAGCCAGGCCGAGUGUGUGAAGAAGGCCUUCGGGUUGUAAAGCACUUUCAGCGGGGAGGCGUUACCCGCAGAAGAAGCACCGGCUAACUCCGUGCCAGCAGCCGCGGUAAUAC
RNAcentral lists this ribosomal RNA (406 nucleotides) under uncultured bacterium. RNAcentral describes it as "partial 16S ribosomal RNA". It matches the Rfam family "Bacterial small subunit ribosomal RNA", at positions 29 to 526 of the family's 1533-position model. The record is from RNAcentral.